RNAcentral lists this ribosomal RNA (592 nucleotides) under uncultured bacterium. Its description in RNAcentral is "partial 16S ribosomal RNA". It matches the Rfam family "Bacterial small subunit ribosomal RNA", at positions 355 to 937 of the family's 1533-position model. The record is from RNAcentral.
UGGGGAAUAUUGGACAAUGGGCGCAAGCCUGAUCCAGCAAUGCCGCGUGUGUGAAGAAGGCCUUCGGGUUGUAAAGCACUUUUAUCAGGAGCGAAACGCUGUCGGCUAAUACCCGGCGGAACUGACGGUACCUGAGGAAUAAGCACCGGCUAACUUCGUGCCAGCAGCCGCGGUAAUACGAAGGGUGCAAGCGUUAAUCGGAAUUACUGGGCGUAAAGCGUGCGUAGGCGGUUUCUUAAGUCUGCUGUGAAAUCCCCGGGCUCAACCUGGGAAUGGCAGUGGAUACUGGGAGGCUAGAGUGUGUCAGAGGGUGGUGGAAUUCCCGGUGUAGCGGUGAAAUGCGUAGAGAUCGGGAGGAACAUCAGUGGCGAAGGCGGCCACCUGGGACAACACUGACGCUGAGGCACGAAAAGCGUGGGGAGCAAAACAGGAUUAGAUACCCUGGUAGUCCACGCCCUAAAACGAUGCGAACUGGAUGUUGGUCUCAACUCGGAGAUCAGUGUCGAAGCUAACGCGUUAAAGUUCGCCGCCUGGGGAAGUACGGUCGCAAGACUGAAACUUAAAAGGAAUUGACGGGGUCAUAGCUGUUUCC